UCUACGGGUGGCUGCAGUGGGGAAUAUUGGACAAUGGGCGAAAGCCUGAUCCAGCCAUGCCGCGUGUGUGAAGAAGGCCUUCGGGUUGUAAAGCACUUUCAGUGGGGAAGAAAGCCUUGGGGCUAAUACCCUCGAGGAAGGACAUCACCCACAGAAGAAGCACCGGCUAACUCCGUGCCAGCAGCCGCGGUAAUACGGAGGGUGCGAGCGUUAAUCGGAAUUACUGGGCGUAAAGCGCGCGUAGGCGGUCUGAUAAGCCGGUUGUGAAAGCCCCGGGCUCAACCUGGGAACGGCAUCCGGAACUGUCAGGCUAGAGUGCAGGAGAGGAAGGUAGAAUUCCCGGUGUAGCGGUGAAAUGCGUAGAGAUUGGGAGGAAUACCAGUGGCGAAGGCGGCCUUCUGGACUGACACUGACGCUGAGGUGCGAAAGCGUGGGUAGCAAACAGGAUUAGAUACCCCAGUAGUC
This 465-nucleotide ribosomal RNA is filed under the name Vreelandella stevensii. RNAcentral describes it as "partial 16S ribosomal RNA". It matches the Rfam family "Bacterial small subunit ribosomal RNA", at positions 338 to 795 of the family's 1533-position model. The record is from RNAcentral. Lineage: Bacteria; Pseudomonadati; Pseudomonadota; Gammaproteobacteria; Oceanospirillales; Halomonadaceae.